CCAAACAGGCUCUCUACGUCUCGUCGAGUCCCCUUUCCAUUACUGCCAAAAGUGGAAGAGGAGCUACAGCAUAUGCUAAAGUCAGGAAUCAUAGAAGAGGUCACUGAAGCAACAGACUGGUGUGCACCAAUGGUGCCUGUGAUAUAGAAGAACAGCAAGUGAUGCAGAGCUCUGGAUGUCUUGUAACAUCUGAAGCACUUUCGAAGACCAAGAAGGCAGGUGGCAUGACCAGCAGUCUGGAGCGUUACCCUGACCUGACCUGACCUGACCCAGAACCAGAACCAGGUGCUGGGGCUGUGAUUAUGAGUCUCAGAAGGCCAUCCAGCCUCCAGCAUUCCCCGAAUCCACCAUAUGGACACCAACUGCUAUAUGUGAUGAACUCAAAUGAGCACAAGCGCUUUUCAUCCACAUAAAAUACAUUGGUCAUACCAAAUGUAGUUAAUGAAGUAUGGGUUCAUAUGCUUAUUUAUAUUUGUUUGUCUAAUUAAG
Cyprinus carpio (common carp) is the source of this 489-nucleotide long non-coding RNA. RefSeq lists it as uncharacterized. The record is from RefSeq and is a predicted model, not a curated record. Lineage: Eukaryota; Metazoa; Chordata; Actinopteri; Cypriniformes; Cyprinidae. The transcript is spliced from 3 exons.